CCUUGAAGAUCGGAGUGCUUGCACUCUGUGAAACAAGAUACAGGCUAGCGGCGGACGGGUGAGUAACACGUGGGUAACCUGCCCAAGAGAUCGGGAUAACACCUGGAAACAGAUGCUAAUACCGGAUAACAACAGAUGAUGCCUAUCAACUGUUUAAAAGAUGGUUCUGCUAUCACUCUUGGAUGGACCUGCGGUGCAUUAGCUAGUUGGUAGGGUAACGGCCUACCAAGGCGAUGAUGCAUAGCCGAGUUGAGAGACUGAUCGGCCACAUUGGGACUGAGACACGGCCCAAACUCCUACGGGAGGCAGCAGUAGGGAAUCUUCCACAAUGGACGCAAGUCUGAUGGAGCAACGCCGCGUGAGUGAAGAAGGGUUUCGGCUCGUAAAGCUCUGUUGUUGGUGAAGAAGGACAGGGGUAGUAACUGACCUUUGUUUGACGGUAAUCAAUUAGAAAGUCACGGCUAACUACGUGCCAGCAGCCGCGGUAAUACGUAGGUGGCAAGCGUUGUCCGGAUUUAUUGGGCGUAAAGCGAGUGCAGGCGGCUCGAUAAGUCUGAUGUGAAAGCCUUCGGCUCAACCGGAGAAUUGCAUCAGAAACUGUCGAGCUUGAGUACAGAAGAGGAGAGUGGAACUCCAUGUGUAGCGGUGAAAUGCGUAGAUAUAUGGAAGAACACCGGUGGCGAAGGCGGCUCUCUGGUCUGUUACUGACGCUNNNGCUCGAAAGCAUGGGUAGCGAACAGGAUUAGAUACCCUGGUAGUCCAUGCC
RNAcentral lists this ribosomal RNA (766 nucleotides) under uncultured bacterium. RNAcentral describes it as "bacterial SSU rRNA". It matches the Rfam family "Bacterial small subunit ribosomal RNA", at positions 62 to 801 of the family's 1533-position model. The record is from RNAcentral.